UACGUAGGGGGCAAGCGUUGUCCGGAUUUAUUGGGCGUAAAGAGCUCGUAGGCGGUCUGUUGCGUCGGCUGUGAAAACCCGGGGCUCAACCCCGGGCCUGCAGCCGAUACGGGCAGACUAGAGUUCGGCAGGGGAGACUGGAAUUCCUGGUGUAGCGGUGAAAUGCGCAGAUAUCGGGAGGAACACCGGUGGCGAAGGCGGUUCUCUGGGCCUUACCUGACGCUGAGGAGCGAAAGCGUGGGGAGCGAACAGG
This 253-nucleotide ribosomal RNA is filed under the name uncultured bacterium. Its description in RNAcentral is "partial 16S ribosomal RNA". It matches the Rfam family "Bacterial small subunit ribosomal RNA", at positions 524 to 776 of the family's 1533-position model. The record is from RNAcentral.